GACGAACGCUGGCGGCGUGCUUAACACAUGCAAGUCGAACGGAAAGGCCCUGCUUUUGUGGGGUGCUCGAGUGGCGAACGGGUGAGUAACACGUGAGUAACCUGCCCUUGACUUUGGGAUAACUUCAGGAAACUGGGGCUAAUACCGGAUAGGAGCUCCUGCUGCAUGGUGGGGGUUGGAAAGUUUCGGCGGUUGGGGAUGGACUCGCGGCUUAUCAGCUUGUUGGUGGGGUAGUGGCUUACCAAGGCUUUGACGGGUAGCCGGCCUGAGAGGGUGACCGGCCACAUUGGGACUGAGAUACGGCCCAGACUCCUACGGGAGGCAGCAGUGGGGAAUAUUGCACAAUGGGCGGAAGCCUGAUGCAGCAACGCCGCGUGCGGGAUGACGGCCUUCGGGUUGUAAACCGCUUUCGCCUGUGACGAAGCGUGAGUGACGGUAAUGGGUAAAGAAGCACCGGCUAACUACGUGCCAGCAGCCGCGGUGAUACGUAGGGUGCGAGCGUUGUCCGGAUUUAUUGGGCGUAAAGGGCUCGUAGGUGGUUGAUCGCGUCGGAAGUGUAAUCUUGGGGCUUAACCCUGAGCGUGCUUUCGAUACGGGUUGACUUGAGGAAGGUAGGGGAGAAUGGAAUUCCUGGUGGAGCGGUGGAAUGCGCAGAUAUCAGGAGGAACACCAGUGGCGAAGGCGGUUCUCUGGGCCUUUCCUGACGCUGAGGAGCGAAAGCGUGGGGAGCGAACAGGCUUAGAUACCCUGGUAGUCCACGCUGUAAACGGUGGGUACUAGGUGUGGGGUCCAUUCCACGGGUUCCGUGCCGUAGCUAACGCUUUAAGUACCCCGCCUGGGGAGUACGGCCGCAAGGCUAAAACUCAAAGGAAUUGACGGGGCCCCGCACAAGCGGCGGAGCAUGCGGAUUAAUUCGAUGCAACGCGUAGAACCUUACCUGGGUUUGACAUGGAUCGGGAGUGCUCAGAGAUGGGUGUGCCUCUUUUGGGGUCGGUUCACAGGUGGUGCAUGGCUGUCGUCAGCUCGUGUCGUGAGAUGUUGGGUUAAGUCCCGCAACGAGCGCAACCCUUGUUCACUGUUGCCAGCACGUUAUGGUGGGGACUCAGUGGAGACCGCCGGGGUCAACUCGGAGGAAGGUGGUGAUGACGUCAAGUCAUCAUGCCCCUUAUGUCCAGGGCUUCACGCAUGCUACAAUGGCUGGUACAGAGAGUGGCGAGCCUGUGAGGGUGAGCGAAUCUCGGAAAGCCGGUCUCAGUUCGGAUUGGGGUCUGCAACUCGACCUCAUGAAGUCGGAGUCGCUAGUAAUCGCAGAUCAGCAACGCUGCGGUGAAUACGUUCCCGGG
This 1343-nucleotide ribosomal RNA is filed under the name uncultured bacterium. RNAcentral's name for it is "16S ribosomal RNA". It matches the Rfam family "Bacterial small subunit ribosomal RNA", at positions 28 to 1378 of the family's 1533-position model. The record is from RNAcentral.